This 27-nucleotide non-coding RNA is filed under the name Homo sapiens (human). The record is from RNAcentral. Lineage: Eukaryota; Metazoa; Chordata; Mammalia; Primates; Hominidae.
CUGUAACCUACAAAUGACGUGCUGAGA